This 480-nucleotide ribosomal RNA is filed under the name uncultured bacterium. RNAcentral describes it as "SSU rRNA". It matches the Rfam family "Bacterial small subunit ribosomal RNA", at positions 26 to 521 of the family's 1533-position model. The record is from RNAcentral.
AGGAUUAACGCUGGCGGCGUGCAUGAAACAUGCAAGUCGAGCGCGGCGCGUGGCUUCGGUCACGCGUCUAGCGGCGCACGGGUGAGUAACACGUGAGCAACCUACCUUCGAGUUCGGGAUAGCCCUGGGAAACCAGGAUUAAUACCGGAUGUGGUCACAACGGGACAUCCCGAUGUGAAAAAAGGCGCAAGCCGCUCGAUGACGGGCUCGCGGCCUAUUAGCUUGUUGGUGGGGUAACGGCCUACCAAGGCGACGAUGGGUAGCUGGUCUGAGAGGACGAUCAGCCACACUGGGACUGAGACACGGCCCAGACUCCUACGGGAGGCAGCAGUUAGGAAUUUUCCGCAAUGGGCGAAAGCCUGACGGAGCAACGCCGCGUGUGUGAUGAAGGCCUUCGGGUUGUAAAGCACUGUCGGAGGGAAGAAUGAAUGACGGUACCUCCAACGAAGACCCGGCUAACUACGUGCCAGCAGCCGCGGU